GACGAACGCUGGCGGCGUGCUUAACACAUGCAAGUCGAACGGAAAGGCCCUGCUUUUGUGGGGUGCUCGAGUGGCGAACGGGUGAGUAACACGUGAGUAACCCGCCCCUGACUUUGGGAUAACUUCACGAAACAGGGGCUAAUAUCGGAUAGGAGCUCCUGCUGCAUGGUGGGGGUUGGAAAGUUUCGGCGGUUGGGGAUGGACUCGCGGCUUAUCAGCUUGUUGGUGGGGUAGUGGCUUACCAAGGCUUUGACGGGUAGCCGGCCUGGGAGGGUGACCGGCCACAAGGGGACUGAGAGACGGCCCAGACGCCUACGGGAGGCAGCAGUGGGGAAUAUUGCGCAAUGGGCGGGAGCCUGAGGCAGCGGCGCCGCGUGCGGGAUGACGGCCUUCGGGUUGUAAACCGCUUUCGCCUGUGACGAAGCGGGAGUGACGGUAAUGGGUAAAGAAGCACCGGCUAACUACGUG
Molecule: ribosomal RNA, 468 nt
Filed under: uncultured bacterium
Lineage: Bacteria
Description: partial 16S ribosomal RNA
Rfam family: Bacterial small subunit ribosomal RNA
Source: RNAcentral